AAGGUUCCCGGUGCGUUUGGAAGGCAGAGGCUCCUGGGCUUGCAGGUUUGGGAAAAUUAUCCAGAACUUGGAAAGGGGUAAAAACAUCACUGCCUGCUCUUUGGAUCCUGGACCCUCGGCACGGUGGGCCCCAGAGCUGAUCAUUCUCUGGGGUGGGGCCGUCCUGGGCACUGCUGGGUGCUGAGCAGUGUCCCUGGCCUCCUCCCACUCCACACCAGGAGCUCCCCUAGUCGUGACAACCACAGAAGCCCCAGACGUUGCCCCAUGUCCCCGAGGGGCCGAAUCACCCAGAGGAUCAGUUCUAUUCCAGAGCCUCGACCAGCCCGGCCACCCAGGGGGUCACUUUGUGGACGCUUCCCUCCACUCUUGCCAGUGUCCCGGCUCUGGAGUUGGACGCUGCUUGGGAUUGACAAAUGCGGAUGAGUUUUGUCCCUGAGCGGCAGGUGCCUCCUUCCUCCUGCUGCGUAUAAAACUCAGUCCAGUCCUGCCGUUCCUCAGUACGCACUCGGAUGCACCUUUGACCUACGGUG
This 530-nucleotide long non-coding RNA is filed under the name Pan troglodytes (chimpanzee). RNAcentral's name for it is "lincRNA". Lineage: Eukaryota; Metazoa; Chordata; Mammalia; Primates; Hominidae. The record is from RNAcentral.